UGAGGUAAUGGCCCACCAAGACUAUUACAGGUACGGGCUCUGAGAGGAGUAGCCCGGAGAUGGGUACUGAGACACGGACCCAGGCCCUAUGGGGCGCAGCAGGCGAGAAAACUUUGCAAUGUGCGAAAGCACGACAAGGUUAAUCCGAGUGAUUUGUGCUAAACGAAUCUUUUGUUAGUCCUAGAAACACUAACGAAUAAGGGGUGGGCAAGUUCUGGUGUCAGCCGCCGCGGUAAAACCAGCACCUCAAGUGGUCAGGAUGAUUAUUGGGCCUAAAGCAUCCGUAGCCGGCUCUGUAAGUUUUCGGUUAAAUCUGUACGCUCAACGUACAGGCUGCCGGGAAUACUGCAGAGCUAGGGAGUGGGAGAGGUAGACGGUACUCGGUAGGAAGGGGUAAAAUCCUUUGAUCUAUUGAUGACCACCUGUGGCGAAGGCGGUCUACCAGAACACGUCCGACGGUGAGGGAUGAAAGCUGGGGGAGCAAACCGGAUUAGAUACCCGGGUAGUCCCAGCUGUAAACUAUGCAAACUCAGUGAUGCAUUAACUUGUGGUCAAUGCAGUGCUGCAGGGAAGCCGUUAAGUUUGCCGCCUGGGAAGUACGUACGCAAGUAUGAAACUUAAAGGAAUUGGCGGGGGAGCAC
This 641-nucleotide ribosomal RNA is filed under the name uncultured archaeon. Its description in RNAcentral is "bacterial SSU rRNA". It matches the Rfam family "Archaeal small subunit ribosomal RNA", at positions 237 to 879 of the family's 1478-position model. The record is from RNAcentral.